GACAGAGGGUGCAAACGUUGUUCGGAUUUACUGGGCGUAAAGCGCGUGUAGGCGGCUUUGCAAGUCGGAUGUGAAAGCCCACGGCUCAACCGUGGAAGUGCAUCCGAAACUGCAUGGCUCGAGUCUCGGAGAGGAAGGUGGAAUGCUUGGUGUAGAGGUGAAAUUCGUAGAUAUCAAGCAGAACACCUGCGGCGAAGGCGGCCUUCUGGACGGUGACUGACGCUGAGACGUGAAAGCGUGGGGAGCAAACAGG
RNAcentral lists this ribosomal RNA (253 nucleotides) under uncultured bacterium. RNAcentral's name for it is "partial 16S ribosomal RNA". It matches the Rfam family "Bacterial small subunit ribosomal RNA", at positions 524 to 776 of the family's 1533-position model. The record is from RNAcentral.